Molecule: ribosomal RNA, 216 nt
Filed under: Salmonella enterica subsp. enterica serovar Infantis
Lineage: Bacteria; Pseudomonadati; Pseudomonadota; Gammaproteobacteria; Enterobacterales; Enterobacteriaceae
Also listed under: 1 other name
Description: partial 16S ribosomal RNA
Rfam family: Bacterial small subunit ribosomal RNA
Source: RNAcentral
UUAAAUUGAAGAGUUUGAUCAUGGCUCAGAUUGAACGCUGGCGGCAGGCCUAACACAUGCAAGUCGAACGGUAACAGGAAGCAGCUUGCUGCUUCGCUGACGAGUGGCGGACGGGUGAGUAAUGUCUGGGAAACUGCCUGAUGGAGGGGGAUAACUACUGGAAACGGUGGCUAAUACCGCAUAACGUCGCAAGACCAAAGAGGGGGACCUUCGGGC